AGUGGAUGGGGAGCAACCUAGUUGUGCGUGUGUAAAGGUAGUGCCAAGAAAGGCGAUGAUCAUGUUGAAAAUCAAUUCCCGGUACCCGAAACCGACACAGGUGGGCAAGUAGAGAAUACUAAGGGGCGCGAGGUAACUCUCUCCAAGGAACUCGGCAAAAUGACCCCGUAACUUAGGGAGAAGGGGUGCCACCGAGAGGUGGUCGCAGUGAAGAGGCCCAGGCGACUGUUUAGCAAAAACAUAGGUCUCUGCAAACUCGAAAGAGGAGGUAUAGGGGCUGACGCCUGCCCAGUGCCGGAAGGUUAAAGAGGUUGGCCAGUCUUAGGAUGAAGCUAGCGACUGAAGCCCCGGUGAACGGCGGCCGUAACUAUAACGGUCCUAAGGUAGCGAAAUUCCUUGUCGGGUAAGUUCCGACCCGCACGAAAGGCGUAACGAUCUGGGCGCUGUCUCGGAGAGAGGCUCGGCGAAAUAGGAUUGUCUGUGAAGAUACGGACUACCUGCAUUUGGACAGAAAGACCCUAUGAAGCUUUACUAUAGCUUGGAAUUGUGUUCGGGCUUCCUGUGCGCAGGAUAGGUGGGAGGCGUAGAAGGUAUUCUUGUGGGGAUACUGGAGCCAACGGUGAGAUACCACUCUCAGGAGGCUAGAAUUCUAUCUUAAUUAAGGACAGUUUCAGGUGGGUAGUUUGACUGGGGCGGUCGCCUCCAAAAAGGUAACGGAGGCGUACAAAGGUUCCCUCAGACUGGUUGGAAAUCAGUCGAAGAGUGCAAAGGCAGAAGGGAGCUUGACUGCGAGAAGUACAGUUCGAGCAGGGUGGAAACACGGUCUUAGUGAUCCGACGGUGCUGUGUGGAAGGGCCGUCGCUCAACGGAUAAAAGUUACUCUAGGAUAACAGGCUGAUCUCCCCCAAGAGUUCACAUCGACGGGGAGGUUUGGCACCUCGAUGUCGGCUCAUCGCAACCUGGGGCGGAAGUACGUCCCAAGGGUUGGGCUGUUCGCCCAUUAAAGCGGUACGUGAGCUGGGUUCAGAACGUCGUGAGACAGUUCGGUCCAUAUCCGAUGUAGGCGUGAGAAUAUUGAGAGGAGCCUUCCUUAGUACGAGAGGACCGGGAAGGACGCACCGCUGGUGUACCUGUUAUGAUGCCAAUUGUAAACGCAGGGUAGCCAAGUGCGGAGAGGAUAACCGCUGAAAGCAUCUAAGUGGGAAGCCCACCUCAAGAUGAGUAUUCUGGUGUAAGGUCACGGGAAGACGACCCGUAAAUAGGCACGAGGUGGAAGUGCAGAGAUGUAUGAAGCCGAAGUGUACUAAUAGACCGUCGGCUUGACC
Molecule: ribosomal RNA, 1325 nt
Filed under: metagenome
Description: bacterial LSU rRNA
Rfam family: Bacterial large subunit ribosomal RNA
Source: RNAcentral